Molecule: ribosomal RNA, 446 nt
Filed under: uncultured bacterium
Lineage: Bacteria
Description: bacterial SSU rRNA
Rfam family: Bacterial small subunit ribosomal RNA
Source: RNAcentral
CCCAGACUCCUACGGGAGGCAGCAGUGGGGGAUAUUGGACAAUGGGGGAAACCCUGAUGCAGCGACGCCGCGUGAGUGAAGAAGUAUUUCGGUAUGUAAAGCUCUAUCAGCAGGGAAGAAAAUGACGGUACCUGAUUAAGAAGCCCCGGCUAACUACGUGCCAGCAGCCGCGGUAAUACGUAGGGGGCAAGCGUUAUCCGGAUUUACUGGGUGUAAAGGGAGCGUAGACGGCAGCACAAGUCUGGAGUGAAAUGCCGGGGCUUAACCCCGGGACUGCAUUUGGAACUGUGUGGCUGGAGUGUCGGAGAGGCAGGCGGAAUUCCUAGUGUAGCGGUGAAAUGCGUAGAUAUUAGGAGGAACACCAGUGGCGAAGGCGGCCUGCUGGACGAUGACUGACGUUGAGGCUCGAAAGCGUGGGGAGCAAACAGGAUUAGAUACCCGGGUAC